UGGAGCUAGGGUUAGGGUUGGGCUUGGAGCUAGGAUUUUUCUGAGUGCAUGAACCAACUCCCGAGUCUCUAGGGUUCCUAAAAAUUGAUUUUUUCCCAUAGGAGCAUGGGUUAGGGUUAGGGUUAGGGUUGGAGCUAGGGUUAGGGUUAGGGUUAGGGUUGGAGUUAGGGUUAGUGUUGGAGCUAGGGUUAGGGUUGGGCUUGGAGCUAGGAUUUUUCUGAGUGCAAUGAACCAACUCCCGAGUCUCUAGGACGUUCCUAAAAAAAUUUGAUUUUUUUCCCAUAGGAAUGCAUGGGUUAGGGUUAGGGUUAGGGUUGGAGCUAGGGUUAGGGUUAGGGUUAGGGUUGGAGUUAGGGUUAGUGUUGGAGCUAGGGUUAGGGUUGGGCUUGGAGCUAGGAUUUUUCUGAGUGCAAUGAACCAACUCCCGAGUCUCUAGGACGUUCCUAAAAAAAUUUGAUUUUUUUCCCAUAGGAAUGCAUGGGUUAGGGUUAGGGUUAGGGUUAGGGUUGGAGCUAGGGUUAGGGUUAGGGUUAGGGUUGGAGUUAGGGUUAGUGUUGGAGCUAGGGUUAGGGUUGGGCUUGGAGCUAGGAUUUUUCUGAGUGCAAUGAACCAACUCCCGAGUCUCUAGGACGUUCCUAAAAAAAUUUGAUUUUUUCCCAUAGGAAUGCAUGGGUUAGGGUUAGGGUUAGGGUUAGGGUUGGGUUGGAGCUAGGGUUAGGGUUAGGGUUAGGGUUGGAGUUAGGGUUAGUGUUGGAGCUAGGGUUAGGGUUGGGCUUGGAGCUAGGAUUUUUCUGAGUGCAAUGAACCAACUCCCGAGUCUCUAGGACGUUCCUAAAGAAAAUUUGAUUUUUUUCCCAUAGGAAUGCAUGGGUUAGGGUUAGGGUUAGGGUUGGAGCUAGGGUUAGGGUUAGGGUUAGGGUUGGAGUUAGGGUUAGUGUUGGAGCUAGGGUUAGGGUUGGGCUUGGAGCUAGGAUUUUUCUGAGUGCAAUGAACCAACUCCCGG
This is a non-coding RNA of Xyrichtys novacula (pearly razorfish), 1003 nucleotides long. Lineage: Eukaryota; Metazoa; Chordata; Actinopteri; Labriformes; Labridae. The record is from the annotation of a GenBank genome assembly.